CAGACACCUACGGGUGGCAGCAGUCGAGAAUAAUUCACAAUGGACGAAAGUCUGAUGGUGCAACGCCGCGUGGAGGAUGAAGGUCUUCGGAUUGUAAACUCCUGUCAUUUGAGAGCAAGACCUGGCGGUGAAUAGCCGACAGGGUUGAUAGUAUCGAAAGAGGAAGGGACGGCUAACUUCGUGCCAGCAGCCGCGGUAAUACGAAGGUCCCGAGCGUUGUUCGGAAUCACUGGGCGUAAAGGGAGCGUAGGCGGCAAAGGUAAGUCAGGUGUGAAAUCCCGGGGCUCAACCCCGGAACUGCACCCGAUACUGCUUUGCUAGAGUAAUGGAGGGGUAGCUGGAAUUCUCGGUGUAGCAGUGAAAUGCGUGGAUAUCGAGAGGAACACUUGUGGCGAAGGCGAGCUACUGGACAUUGACUGACGCUGAGGCUCGAAGGCCAGGGUAGCGAAAGGGAUUAGAUACCCCUGUAGUCCUGGCAGUAAACGGUGUGCGCUUGGUGUGAGGGGUUUCGACCCCCCUUGUGCCGGAGCUAACGCGUUAAGCGCACCGCCUGGGGAGUACGGUCGCAAGACUAAAACUCAAAGAAAUUGACGGGGACCCGCACAAGCGGUGGAGUAUGUGGCUUAAUUCGAUGCAACGCGAAGAACCUUACCUGGGCUUGACAUGCAUUGCUAAGCUGUUGAAAGGCAGCGAGUCUUCGGACACCUUGCACAGGUGCUGCAUGGCCGUCGUCAGCUCGUGUCGUGAGAUGUUGGGUUAAGUCCCGCAACGAGCGCAACCCCUGUGAACAGUUGCCAGCACUUCGGGUGGGGACUCUGUUCAGACUGCCCAGAUCAACUGGGAGGAAGGUGGGGAUGACGUCAGGUCAGUAUGGCCCUUACGCCCAGGGCUGCAC
This 895-nucleotide ribosomal RNA is filed under the name uncultured Haloferula sp. RNAcentral describes it as "bacterial SSU rRNA". It matches the Rfam family "Bacterial small subunit ribosomal RNA", at positions 332 to 1219 of the family's 1533-position model. Lineage: Bacteria; Pseudomonadati; Verrucomicrobiota; Verrucomicrobiia; Verrucomicrobiales; Verrucomicrobiaceae. The record is from RNAcentral.